Molecule: ribosomal RNA, 489 nt
Filed under: uncultured bacterium
Lineage: Bacteria
Description: bacterial SSU rRNA
Rfam family: Bacterial small subunit ribosomal RNA
Source: RNAcentral
GAUUAUGGCUCAGAAUGAACGCUGGCGGCAUGGAUUAGGCAUGCAAGUCGAACGAGAAAGCGCCCUCGGGCGCGAGUAAAGUGGCGAAAGGGUGAGUAACACGUGAGGAACCUGCCCCCUGGCCCGGAACAAGCCUGUGAAAACGGGUCUGAAACCGGAUGAGGCCCCCUUCCCGCAUGGGAAGUCAGCCAAAUAUUCAUAGCCAAGGGAUGGCCUCGCGGCCCAUUAGCUAGUUGGCGGGGUGACGGCCCACCAAGGCUACGACGGGUAGGUGGUCUGAGAGGAUGGUCACCCACACUGAGACUGAGACACUGCCCAGACUCCUACGGGAGGCUGCAGUCGAGAAUCUUCCGCAAUGGGCGCAAAGCCUGACGGAGCGAUGCCGCGUGAGGGACGAAGGCCUUCGGGUCGUAAACCUCUGUCGAGGGGAACGAACGCAAUGACGGUACCCCUCAAGAAAGCCACGGCUAACCACGUGCCAGCCGCCGC